GAGUGUUUAAAACAUUUUUAUUUCAAAUGAAUGUGAAGAAAAAAUGUGAUUAACUGACCGCUUAUUUCAAAGAUGACCACUUAAUUACAAACUGUUAUACACACACAAACUGACCAUUAUGUAUGUCCGUUCAACACUCCACAGCUCUCCUCUCAUCUUCUUUGGUCUCCACCAUAAUGCUUUCCAUUUUGUUUGUUUUUUUUUUCUGUUCAUUCUUUAAAAAGGUCAAAAUAACAAAGUGAAUGAGAAUAUUCUAGAUAUUAUUGGAUAUUAUUUGAUAUUACAUAUGUCACAGCAUUGUCAAUAUCUGUAUUUGCUGCUGGAUAUCUUCAUUGAUUGUUGACACAGAUGAUAUCACUAGAUAUCAGUGAUAGGGCUGUUAUCACAGGGUUUCGGUGAUACAGCCUAUAUCACCAGAUAUCAGUGAUGGGGCUGCUAUCACCGGGUAUCGGUGAUACAGCCUAUAUAACCAGAUAUCAGUGAUGGGGUUGUUAUCAUCAGCUGAGUUUCAUACAACGGAUAUCACUACCCAUCAUUCAUAGGGUUGUUAUCAUUAGAUAUCACUGAUUUCAUUGAACAGCUGUUAAUAUCAGCUGGCGUAUAGAGUGCUGAAAUCACUAGCUGCUGUAGAGUGAGAGAUAUCAUUUGCUAUCAUAUUGAAAACUGAUAUCACUAGCAUCACAAAGAGCUGAUAUCACACAUUGUUGUUGACAGAGCUGAUAUCACUCACUACAGCAAAUAACUUUACACACCCCUGAUAUCCCUAAAUAUCAUGAUAUUACAAGAUGUAUUCAUAUCAGAUAAAUUCUGCCGAUAUCGCAAGGUUAUUUGAUAUCACUAGAUAUUGCUGAAAUCAUAGAAAUAUCUCACUACCAUUGAUAAAAUCAAACACUUGUGCUGCAUAUUUCUUGUGGAAAACUCGGAAAAUCAGACGUGAACUGACUAUUUUCUAUCAACCGAUAGGUGAGGGUUUCAAGCAAAAGCAUCCCUUUUUUUUUGUUCAUAUUUGCACUUCUGGGUAAGACAACAGAUUUGGAAGAGGUUUUCUCACCCUUAACAGUAGAUACCUGUAAUUCAAUGGGGUCCGUUUUACUCAUUUCUCAGGUAAGAAGUGUUGUAAAUUUAGCAGAACAACAACAACAAAAUAAUAGGUGGGUAUGGCGAGGGUUUAUGAGAUAACUGUCUAUAGAAGUGGAGAGGGAGUUCUUCAACCUCAAUGAUGGGGAUAGAAGUGGUGGUGAGCUCUGUCAUUUCGUCGUGAAUCAGGGAGUUGGAAAGGGUAGUUUUCACACAAAUUAGGGUCUGUUGAGAAUCUAUCUGAGGUUUUCAAACCAGUGUUAUGUAUGUAUACAUGAAUGCUUUAUAUAUAUAUAUAUUUAUAUACAUACAGGGUGUCUACAAAUUAUCUUUACAGCUUCCACAAUUUAUUGUAGUUGAGAUCAAUCAAUCAACUUCUUUGUAGCUAAUGGAGCCCAUGUGGAAAUAUUCUGAUGUUUCUAAUAAAACUUUGUUUCUUUGCUGAUGUUUUCCAGUAAUCUCUGGUGAAUUCUCCUUAUUUUUCAUUUUUUCCUGAAUUUUUCAAAUUGUAAAGGUAAUUUAUGGACACCCUGUGUAAAUUACAGAUGCAAGUGUGUAAUAUAUAUCUAUAUAUGUAUGUAUGUAUGUAUGUAUGUAUGUAUGUAUGUAUGUAUGUAUGUAUGUAUAUAUGUAUGUAUGUAUGUAUGUAUGUAUGCAUGCAUGCAUGCAUGUAUGUAUGUAUGUAUACAUGCAUGCAUUAACACAGGCAUAAUCAUAUGCAUUGUGUAUGAGUAUAUGUGUGUAUAUAUGUACAUAUAUACACACAUAUAUAUGCAUGUGUAUAUGUACAUAUAUAUACACAUAUAUAUGCAUGUGUAUAGGGACAUAUAUACAUAUACAUAUAUAUAUAUAUAUAUAUGUAUAUAUGUAUGUAUAUAUAUGUAUAUAUGUAUGUAUGUUUAGUAUUCCAGAGCCACAAUUUGAAGACUACGAUAUUAACAGUAACACUGUUUCGUAUGGCCCCUAAAGGGCCACUGUGCAGCAGACUUCCAGGUGCCAAGCAACAGAGGCCUUAGAGUCUGCAUGCAUGCACACACAUAUCCACACACAUGUGCGUGUGCGUGUAUGUGUGUAAAUUUGUUGAAGAGAUGAAUGUGUAUAUUUAUGUCUUGAUAUAACUGUGAGAUGUUGACCUCGGUAACCACAGUCGACUCAAAGCAGCAAAGUGUCUACUGAUAGGGGCAAAACCCCUGAAUUCAAGGGUUUUUUGGUGAUAUCAACCGACUGACAGGGGAGGGACCAUGAGGGUGCAUAUGAAUAUAUAUAUAUACUCAUAUGUGAGUAUAUAGGUUUAUAUACAUAUACAUGUAUAUAUAGAUGUGUGUGUGUGUGUGUGUGUAUAGGCAUAUACAUGUAUGAAUGUGUGUGUGCAUAUAAAUAUGUAUAUAUUCAGAUGUGAGUAUAUAUGUUUAUAUAUAUAUACAUGUAUAUAUGUGUGUGUAUAUAUAGGCAUAUAUAUAUGCCUAUAUAUACAUAUACACACACAUAUACAUGUUUAUACGUGUAUAUAUGUAUAUAUACAUACAUGUAUAU
Molecule: long non-coding RNA, 2610 nt
Filed under: Octopus vulgaris (common octopus)
Lineage: Eukaryota; Metazoa; Mollusca; Cephalopoda; Octopoda; Octopodidae
Source: RNAcentral